CAUUGCAUUGCAUUGCUUUGCACGGAGCUCCAUUGCAUUGCGUUGCACUGACACUCCAUUGCUUUGCUUUGCAUUGCUUUGCUUUGCUUUGCUUUGCAUUGCUUUGCAUUGCACUGACACUCCAUUGCUUUGCAUUGCUUUGCUUUGCUUUGCUUUGCAUUGCAUUGCAUUGCUUUGCACGGAGCUCCGUUGCAUUGCAUUGCACUGGCACUGCUUUGCUUUGCUUUGCUUUGCUUUGCACAGAGCUCCGUUGCUUUGCAUUGCUUUGCAUUGCUUUGCAUUGCUUUGCAUUGCUUUGCAUUGCUUUGCAUUGCACUGCACAGACCCCCAUUGCAUUUCAUGGGCCUCCAUUGCAUUGCAUUGCACUGCACGGAGCUGCAUUGCUCUGCUUUGCUCUGCAUUGCUCUGACACUCCAUUGUAUUGCAUUGCACGGAGCUCUGUUGCUUUGCUUUGCAUUGCACUGGCACUCCAUUGUUUCACAUUGCUUUGCUUUGCAUUGCAUUGCAGGGAGCUCCAUUGCUUUGCCUUGCCUUGCAUUGCACUGACACUGCGUUGCUUUGCAUUGCUUUGCAUUGCUUUGCAUUGCUUUGCAUUGCUUUGCAUUGCACUGAGCAACAUUGCAUUGCAUUGCACUGCACGGAGCUGCAUUGCUCUGCUUUGCAUUGCGUUGCUCUGACACUUCAUUGCAUUGCGCUGCACGGACUUCCAUUACUUUGCAUUGCAUUGCAUUGCACGGACCUUCAUUGCUUUGCAUGGCGUUGCACGGAGCUGCGUUGCUUUGCACAGCUUUGCUUUGCGUUGCAUUGCACUGACACUGCAUUGCUUUGCUUUGCUUUGCUGCACUUUGUGUUGCACUGACGCUUUGUUGCUUUGCACAGAGCUCCUUUGCAUUGCAUUGCUUUGCUUUGCUUUGCUUUGCAUUGCAUUGCAUAGAGCUCCAUUGCUUUGCUUUGCAUUGCGUUGCAUUGCACUGACACUGCUUUGCUUUGCUUUGCUUCACUUUGCGUUGCACUGAAACUUUGUUGCUUUGCACAGAGCUCCUUUGCAUUGCAUUGCAUUGCUUUGCAUUGCGUUGCAUUGCGUUGCAUUGCACUGACACUGCUUUGCUUUGCUUUGCUUUGCUUUGCUUUGCACCGAGCUCCAUCGCAUUGCACUGCUCUGCAUUGCUUUUGCUCUCCGUUGCUUUUGCUCUCCGUUUCUUUUGCUCUGCAUUGCUUUUGCUCUGCAUUGCAUGGCUUUGCUUUGCACUGCUUUGUAUUGCACUGCAUUGCACUGCUCUGCUUUGCAUUGCUCAUUGCUUUGCUUUGCAUUGCUCUGCUUUGCUCUGCAUUGCAUUGCAUUGCAUUGCUUUGCUUUGCUUUGCUUUGCACUGCUUUGCUCUGCAUUGCAUUGCUUUGCUUUGCUUUGCACUGCUUUGC
This 1419-nucleotide long non-coding RNA is filed under the name Phasianus colchicus (ring-necked pheasant). Its description in RNAcentral is "lncRNA (ENSPCLG00000019113.1)". The record is from RNAcentral. Lineage: Eukaryota; Metazoa; Chordata; Aves; Galliformes; Phasianidae.